UACGGAGGGAGCUAGCGUUUGUUCGGAAUUACUGGGCGUAAAAGCGCACGUAGGCGGCUUUGUAAGUUAGAGGUGAAAGCCCGGGGCUCAACCCCCGGAAUUGCCUUUUAAGACUGCAUCGCUUUGAAUCCGGGAGAGGUGAGUGGAAUUCCGAGUGUAGAGGUGAAAUUCGUAGAUAUUCGGAAGAACACCAGUGGCGAAGGCGGCUCACUGGACUGGUAUUGACGCUGAGGUGCGAAAGCGUGGGGAGCAAACAGG
RNAcentral lists this ribosomal RNA (258 nucleotides) under uncultured bacterium. RNAcentral describes it as "partial 16S ribosomal RNA". It matches the Rfam family "Bacterial small subunit ribosomal RNA", at positions 524 to 776 of the family's 1533-position model. The record is from RNAcentral.